AUACGGAGGGUGCAAGCGUUGUCCGGAUUUACUGGGUUUAAAGGGUCCGUAGGCGGGUCUUUAAGUCAGUGGUGAAAUCCUACGGCUCAACCGUAGAACUGCCAUUGAUACUGAAGAUCUUGAGUAUAGUUGAGGUAGGCGGAAUUUAUGAUGUAGCGGUGAAAUGCAUAGAUAUCAUAAAGAACACCAAUUGCGAAGGCAGCUUACUAAACUAUUACUGACGCUCAGGGACGAAAGCGUGGGGAGCGAACAGGAUUAGAAACCCUAGUAGUCC
Molecule: ribosomal RNA, 274 nt
Filed under: uncultured bacterium
Lineage: Bacteria
Description: partial 16S ribosomal RNA
Rfam family: Bacterial small subunit ribosomal RNA
Source: RNAcentral